AAAGCACUCCAUAUUCCUCUCUUUUCCCCCAUUCAUUUUCCAUCCAUUUCUCGUCUACGAACAACACAAAGUAGUUUUUGAACUGAUAAAUGGGACAGAUCCAGUAUUCUGAGAAGUAUUUUGAUGAUACCUAUGAGUACAGGCAUGUUGUUCUUCCUCCUGAUGUAGCGAAAUUGCUUCCUAAGAAUCGUCUUCUAUCUGAAAAUGAGUGGAGGGCAAUUGGAGUUCAGCAGAGCAGAGGAUGGGUUCACUAUGCUAUUCAUCGACCAGAGCCCCAUAUCAUGCUCUUCAGGAGGCCACUGAACUAUCAGCAGCAACAAGAGAACCAGACUCAGCAAGUUCUGCUUGCCAAGUGAAGAAACAUGUCUCUCGUUUCAUUUUUCCUAAUGAAUCAGGUCAUAUACAGAUAGUAAUGUUCAUUUCAUCUAGAAAUGAUAAGACAGUUUUAUGGAUGUCUAGUUAAAUGUCUGGAUUCUUAAGGAUGUUAUGUACUGUAAUGCUUAGCUCUUGUGGAGUUUAGGUUUUGAAUUCCCGUAUUUUUAACAAUCAGAUUUUAUAUCCGUGUGCUUGGAUGGAUUCUGACCUGUACUUUGGCAUCCUACAUUUUGGAUCUGUUUGGUUUAGUCAUG
This 629-nucleotide unclassified non-coding RNA is filed under the name Hevea brasiliensis (rubber tree). The record is from RNAcentral. Lineage: Eukaryota; Viridiplantae; Streptophyta; Magnoliopsida; Malpighiales; Euphorbiaceae.